This 468-nucleotide ribosomal RNA is filed under the name uncultured bacterium. RNAcentral describes it as "partial 16S ribosomal RNA". It matches the Rfam family "Bacterial small subunit ribosomal RNA", at positions 28 to 507 of the family's 1533-position model. The record is from RNAcentral.
GACGAACGCUGGCGGCGUGCUUAACACAUGCAAGUCGAACGGAAAGGCCCUGCUUUUGUGGGGUGCUCGAGUGGCGCACGGGUGAGUACCACGUGAGUAACCUGCCCUUGACUUUGGGAUAACUUCAGGAAACUGGGGCUAAUACCGGAUAGGAGCUCCUGCUGCAUGGUGGGCGUUGGAAAGUUUCGGUGGUUGGGGAUGGACUCGCGGGUUAUCAGCUUGUUGGUGGGGUAGUGGCUUACGAAGGCUUUGACGGGUAGCCGGCCUGAGAGGGUGACCGGGCACAUGGGGACUGAGAGACGGCGCAGUCGCCUACGGGAGGCAGCAGGCGGGAAUAUUGCAGAAUGGGCGGAAGCCUGAUGCAGCAACCCCGCGUGCGGGAUGACGGGCUUCGGGUUGUAAACCGCUUUCGCCUGUGACGAAGCGUGAGUGACGGUAAUGGGUAAAGAAGCACCGGCUAACUACGUG